This 253-nucleotide ribosomal RNA is filed under the name uncultured bacterium. RNAcentral's name for it is "partial 16S ribosomal RNA". It matches the Rfam family "Bacterial small subunit ribosomal RNA", at positions 524 to 776 of the family's 1533-position model. The record is from RNAcentral.
UACGGAUGGUGCAAGCGUUAUCCGGAUUUACUGGGUUUAAAGGGUGCGUAGGCGGGCCCUUAAGUCAGUGGUGAAAGCUCCGAGCUUAACUCGGAAACUGCCAUUGAUACUAUAGGUCUUGAAUUCGGUCGAGGUUGGCGGAAUGUGUCGUGUAGCGGUGAAAUGCUUAGAUAUGACACAGAACACCGAUUGCGAAGGCAGCUAGCUAGACCGACAUUGACGCUGAGGCACGAAAGCGUGGGGAUCAAACAGG